Molecule: small nucleolar RNA, 139 nt
Filed under: Neotoma lepida (desert woodrat)
Lineage: Eukaryota; Metazoa; Chordata; Mammalia; Rodentia; Cricetidae
Description: Small Cajal body specific RNA 21
Rfam family: Small Cajal body specific RNA 21
About the family: scaRNAs are a specific class of small nuclear RNAs which localise to the Cajal bodies and guide the modification of RNA polymerase II transcribed spliceosomal RNAs U1, U2, U4, U5 and U12.
Source: Rfam by way of RNAcentral
UGGCUCGGUUUCCUGGGAGGUGGGCUCAGUGUACACCACCUCCUCUCAGCUGAGCCUAGAGUACAGAGGCAAAGUGUACACCUGUGAGGAAGAGGUGCUUAAGCAGGGAGCCUUGCUCGGCUGUCCUAGCCUCACAUUU